GCGGAUGUAGCUCAAUUGGUUUAGAGCGCUGGUCUUCCAAACCGGAGGUUAAGGAUUCGAAUUCCUUUAUCCGC
Molecule: transfer RNA, 74 nt
Filed under: Ourococcus multisporus
Lineage: Eukaryota; Viridiplantae; Chlorophyta; Chlorophyceae; Sphaeropleales; Selenastraceae
Description: tRNA-Gly
Rfam family: tRNA
About the family: Transfer RNA (tRNA) molecules are approximately 80 nucleotides in length. Their secondary structure includes four short double-helical elements and three loops (D, anti-codon, and T loops).
Source: RNAcentral